GCCUGUUUGGCUCAGUGGAUAGAGCGUUAGCCUGAGGACUGAAGGGUUCUGGGUUCGAUUCCCACCAAGGGCU
Molecule: transfer RNA, 73 nt
Filed under: Myotis lucifugus (little brown bat)
Lineage: Eukaryota; Metazoa; Chordata; Mammalia; Chiroptera; Vespertilionidae
Rfam family: tRNA
About the family: Transfer RNA (tRNA) molecules are approximately 80 nucleotides in length. Their secondary structure includes four short double-helical elements and three loops (D, anti-codon, and T loops).
Source: Rfam by way of RNAcentral